Molecule: ribosomal RNA, 450 nt
Filed under: uncultured bacterium
Lineage: Bacteria
Description: bacterial SSU rRNA
Rfam family: Bacterial small subunit ribosomal RNA
Source: RNAcentral
GUGGGGAAUAUUGGACAAUGGGGGAAACCCUGAUCCAGCGACGCCGCGUGGGUGAAGAAGGCCUGCGGGUUGUAAAGCCCUUUCGGUGGGGAAGAAAAGCCUCGACCUAACACGUCGGGGUAUUGACGUAACCCACAAAAGAAGCACCGGCUAACUCUGUGCCAGCAGCCGCGGUAAUACAGAGGGUGCGAGCGUUAAUCGGAAUUACUGGGCGUAAAGCGCGCGUAGGCGGCUAUACAAGUCGAGUGUGAAAUCCCCGGGCUCAACCUGGGAACUGCAUUCGAGACUGUAUGGCUUGAGUAUGGGAGAGGGAGGCGGAAUUUCAGGUGUAGCGGUGAAAUGCGUAGAUAUCUGAAGGAACAUCAGUGGCGAAAGCGGCCUCCUGGACCAAUACUGACGCUCAUGUGCGAAAGCGUGGGGAGCAAACAGGAUUAGAUACCCGAGUAGUCC